This 442-nucleotide ribosomal RNA is filed under the name uncultured bacterium. RNAcentral's name for it is "partial 16S ribosomal RNA". It matches the Rfam family "Bacterial small subunit ribosomal RNA", at positions 338 to 795 of the family's 1533-position model. The record is from RNAcentral.
CCUACGGGUGGCAGCAGUGGGGAAUAUUGCACAAUGGGGGAAACCCUGAUGCAGCGACGCCGCGUGGGCGAAGAAGUAUUUCGGUAUGUAAAGCCCUAUCAGCAGGGAAGAAGAAAUGACGGUACCUGAGUAAGAAGCACCAGCUAAAUACGUGCCAGCAGCCGCGGUAAUACCUAUGGUGCAAGCAUUAUCCGGAUUUACUGGGUGUAAAGGGAGCGUAGGGGGCAAGGCAAGCCUGAUGGGAAAGCCCGGGGGCCAACCGCGGGACUGCAGUGGGAACUGCCUGGCUGGAGUGCCGGAGAGGUAGGCGGAAUGCCUGGUGUAGCGGUGAAAUGCGUAGAUAUUAGGAGGAACACCAGUGGCGAAGGCGGCCUACUGGACGGUGACUGACGCUGAGGCUCGAAAGCGUGGGGAGCAAACAGGAUUAGAUACCCUUGUAGUC